RNAcentral lists this transfer RNA (75 nucleotides) under Candidatus Syntrophocurvum alkaliphilum. RNAcentral's name for it is "tRNA-Gln". It matches the Rfam family "tRNA". From Rfam's summary of the family: Transfer RNA (tRNA) molecules are approximately 80 nucleotides in length. Their secondary structure includes four short double-helical elements and three loops (D, anti-codon, and T loops). The record is from RNAcentral. Lineage: Bacteria; Bacillati; Bacillota; Clostridia; Eubacteriales; Syntrophomonadaceae.
UGGGGUGUCGCCAAGUGGUAAGGCAACGGACUUUGACUCCGUCACGCGUAGGUUCGAAUCCUGCCACCCCAGCCA